Non-coding RNA from Callorhinus ursinus (northern fur seal), 1292 nucleotides. Lineage: Eukaryota; Metazoa; Chordata; Mammalia; Carnivora; Otariidae. The record is from RefSeq and is a predicted model, not a curated record.
GCGCGGACUGUAUCCCGGCCGCCGCCCGCCGCGUUUCCCCGGGCCGCGCUCCUUGCGGCGCCCCGGCUCCCGCGUAGCCCGUCGGGCCGCCCCGGCCUCGCCCCUGCCCGCCUUCCCUCCUUCCUGCAGCGGCGAAGCGCGCAGAUGCCUGGUAGACACCUUAGGACUUUGAAAACGGAAAAGACCUGCUUUUAGGGGAUAAUGCUGAGGGACACUAUGAAAUCUUGGAAUGAUAGCCAGUCAGAUCUCUGUAGCAGUGACCAAGAAGAGGAAGAAGAGAUGGUUUUUGGUGAAAAUGAAGAUGAUUUGGAAGAGAUGAUGGAUUUCAGUGAUCUGCCUACCUCACUUUUUGCUUGCAGUGUCCAUGAAGCUGUGUUUGAGGUGCAAGAGCAGAAGGAGAGAUUUGAAGCACUUUUCACUGUCUAUGACGACCAAGUGACAUUUCAGUUGUUUAAAAGCUUUAGAAGAGUCAGAAUAAAUUUCAGCAAACCCGAAGCAGCAGCAAGAGCACGAAUAGAACUCAACGAAACGGACUUCCACGGGAAGAAGCUGAAGCUGUAUUUUGCACAGGUACAGAUGUCCAGUGAAACCCAGGACAAGUCGUAUUUACUGCCCCCGCAGCCGGUCAAACAGUUCCUCAUCUCCCCUCCUGCCUCGCCGCCUGUGGGGUGGAAGCAGGGGGAAGACGGAAUGCCUGUUAUAAACUAUGACUUACUCUGUGCGGUUUCCAAACUGGGACCAGGAGAGAAAUACGAGCUCCAUGCUGGAACGGAGUCAACGCCGAGUGUGGUGGUUCAUGUCUGCGAAAGUGAAACUGAAGAGGAAGAAGAAACAAAAAACCCCAAACAGAAAAUUACCCAGACGAGGCGCCCCGAGCCUCCAGCCACAGCACUGAGUGAGCCCCAGACCUUCGAUGGGGCACUGUGAGGCCUCUGGCUGGUGCCAGGCAGCCGCCCCCGGGGGCUCCGCGCUGGAGGUCCCUGCCCCUUCUGGCGCACCGUGGCUCGGCGUGUGUGGAUUCUGACUGUAUGCCAUGUGUCUCUGAGUGCGACAAAGAAGACUCUCAUGCUGAUGUUAUCUGUCACUCAGCAUCAAGAUCAUAAAGUUCUGUGAUAAAUGUGGAAGAUCUGUGUCAGAAACGUCUAUUACCACCAGCGAUUUGGGUAUAUUUGUAAGACACACUUAAAAUUUACUCCUCAUAUCUCACCUUAAAGUUGGAUGGUGAAAAAUGAAGACCAAAUUUUUUAAAAAAGGCUUAUUUACUAGUUUGCUAAAAUCUGACCAAUUCACCA